UACAGAGGGUGCGAGCGUUAAUCCGAAUUACUGGGCGUAAAGCGUGCGUAGACGGUUUCGUAAGUCGGGUGUGAAAUCCCCGGGCUCAACCUGGGAAUUGCAUUCGAAACUGCGAGGCUAGGGUACGGAAGAGGGAAGCGGAAUUUCUGGUGUAGCGGUGAAAUGCGUAGAUAUCAGAAGGAACAUCAGUGGCGAAAGCGGCUUCCUGGUCCAGUACCGACGUUCAGGCACGAAAGCGUGGGGAGCAAACAGG
Molecule: ribosomal RNA, 253 nt
Filed under: uncultured bacterium
Lineage: Bacteria
Description: partial 16S ribosomal RNA
Rfam family: Bacterial small subunit ribosomal RNA
Source: RNAcentral